ACGAGUUUGAUCCUGGCUCAGGUUGAACGCUGGCGGCAUGCUUUACACAUGCAAGUCGAACGGUAACAGGCCUUCGGGUGCUGACGAGUGGCGAACGGGUGAGUAAUGCAUCGGAACGUGCCCAAUCGUGGGGGAUAACGUAGCGAAAGUUACGCUAAUACCGCAUAAGCCCUGAGGGGGAAAUGGGGGACCGCAAGGCCUCACGCGAAUGGAGCGGCCGAUGUCAGAUUAGCUAGUUGGUGGGGUAAAGGCUCACCAAGGCGACGAUCUGUAGCGGGUCUGAGAGGAUGAUCCGCCACACUGGGACUGAGACACGGCCCAGACUCCUACGGGAGGCAGCAGUGGGGAAUUUUGGACAAUGGGCGCAAGCCUGAUCCAGCCAUGCCGCGUGAGUGAAGAAGGCCUUCGGGUUGUAAAGCUCUUUCAGCCGGAAAGAAAGCGCAUGGGUGAAUAACCUGUGUGGAUGACGGUACCGGAAGAAGAAGCACCGGCUAACUACGUG
This 502-nucleotide ribosomal RNA is filed under the name uncultured bacterium. RNAcentral's name for it is "bacterial SSU rRNA". It matches the Rfam family "Bacterial small subunit ribosomal RNA", at positions 1 to 507 of the family's 1533-position model. The record is from RNAcentral.